RNAcentral lists this ribosomal RNA (253 nucleotides) under uncultured bacterium. Its description in RNAcentral is "partial 16S ribosomal RNA". It matches the Rfam family "Bacterial small subunit ribosomal RNA", at positions 524 to 776 of the family's 1533-position model. The record is from RNAcentral.
UACGUAGGGUGCGAGCGUUAAUCGGAAUUACUGGGCGUAAAGCGUGCGCAGGCGGUUUUAUAAGCCAGAUGUGAAAGCCCCGGGCUCAACCUGGGAAUGGCAUUUGGGACUGUAAGGCUGGAGUAUGGCAGAGGAGACUAGAAUUCCUGGUGUAGCAGUGAAAUGCGUAGAUAUCAGGAGGAAUACCGAUGGCGAAGGCAGGUCUCUGGGCCAAUACUGACGCUGAGGCACGAAAGCGUGGGGAGCAAACAGG